RNAcentral lists this transfer RNA (56 nucleotides) under Pseudoalteromonas sp. S3785. Its description in RNAcentral is "tRNA-Met". It matches the Rfam family "tRNA", at positions 8 to 60 of the family's 71-position model. From Rfam's summary of the family: Transfer RNA (tRNA) molecules are approximately 80 nucleotides in length. Their secondary structure includes four short double-helical elements and three loops (D, anti-codon, and T loops). Lineage: Bacteria; Pseudomonadati; Pseudomonadota; Gammaproteobacteria; Alteromonadales; Pseudoalteromonadaceae. The record is from RNAcentral.
UAGCUCAGCUGGUUAGAGCACAUCACUCAUAAUGAUGGGGUCACAGGUUCAAAUCC